RNAcentral lists this ribosomal RNA (482 nucleotides) under uncultured bacterium. RNAcentral describes it as "partial 16S ribosomal RNA". It matches the Rfam family "Bacterial small subunit ribosomal RNA", at positions 28 to 507 of the family's 1533-position model. The record is from RNAcentral.
GAUGAACGCUAGCGGCAGGCCUAAUACAUGCAAGUCGAACGAGAUUAAGAGGCUUGCUUCUUAUGAAAGUGGCGCACGGGUGCGUAACGCGUAUGCAACCUACCUUAAUAAGGGGGAUAGCCCGAAGAAAUUCGGAUUAAGACCGCAUAAAAACACAGGAGAGCAUUAUCCAAUGAUCAAAAAUUUAUAGGUUUAAGAUAGGCAUGCGUGUCAUUAGCUAGUUGGCGGGGUAACGGCCCACAAAGGCGACGAUGACUAUGGGAUCUGAGAGGAUGACCCCCCGCACUGGUACUAAGACACAGACCAGAAGACGACGCGACAGAGCAGUAAGGAAUAUUAGUCAAUGGAGGGAACUCUGAACCAGCCGUGCCAUGUGUAGGAACACAGCCCUCUGAGUCGUAAACUGCUUUUAUUCGGCAAUAAUCCUUUUUACGUGUAGGAGGUUGAAUGUACCGAAGGAAUAAGGAACGGCUAACUCCGUG